UGGGUGGUAAAAAGAAAUGGUAACUUACUCUUUUACUAAAAUAAUUCAACCAGUCCUUAAACAAAGCCAAACUCGAUUCAUUGUCAUCUAACAGAAGCAAGCAGGGAGCCAGACAUCACAAUCAAGCCUCUAAAAUGAAGAUAAUGGUGGCUAUAAAACGAGUUGUCGACUACGCCGUGAAGAUCUGGGUGAAACCCGAUGACGUAUUUAUCAAUAAAUUAAAUAAUUUAUUCAAAAAUUAUUAUUUUUUUUUAAAUUUGGGUUGGGUUUGCAAUACACACCGGAGUUGAGAGCAACAACGUCAAGAUGUCAAUGAACCCAUUUUGCGAGAUAGCGUUGGAGGAAGCUUUCAGGAUCAAGGAAUCAGGGUUAGCCUCCGAGGUUGUCGCUGUCAGUAUGCGUCCUUCAGAGUGCGUGGAUACUCUGCGGACGGGUCUAGCCAUGGGAGCUGAUAGAGGGAUUCAUGUUGAGGCCACCUCUGUGCUGUAUCCAUUGACCGUCGCCAAGAUCCUGAAGAUUCUUGUUGAGGUUGAGAAGCUCGGUUUGCUUUUUCUGGGAAAGCAGAUUGUUGUGUAGCCAAUUGAUGAUGAUUGCUAUCAAACAGGACAAAUGGUUGUAGGGUUGCUCGGCUGGCCACAGGCUACCUUUGCUUCUAAGUAGGUUGUUGUGGACAAGGAGAAACAAGAAGCAACUGUGGAUAGAGAAGUAGAUGGUGGUCUUGAGACACUAUCAUUAGACUUACCUACAGGUAAGUGUUGUGCAAUUUGAGACUUCUAAUAUUCAAUACUAUGAAGUUCUUGAAGUCUUAAAAGCACCUCAACAUGUAGAGAAAUUGAAUAUAGAAUACUGAGAAAUCAAGAUGGCAAAAACGAUAGUAUGGUUCAUGUUCUUAGACCCGGAUUAGAUUGGUUGGUUCAACCAAUCCAACCAAUAUCCGUGGUCUUACUUGAUUUAGGAAAGACCAAUUUUUGUUUUUGCGGUUAUAUCACUUUGACCCACAAUUGAACAACCUAAAUCGUCUUAAUUUGUGAUUCAACCGGCUAGUUCAAAGCAGCCAAACUAUUUGAUAAUGUUAGUAUGAUGUCAUGCUAAUGUUAUUGUAAU
Mangifera indica (mango) is the source of this 1104-nucleotide RNA transcript. It is a transcript of the gene named electron transfer flavoprotein subunit beta, mitochondrial-like, with no coding region annotated. The transcript has 3 exons. The record is from RefSeq and is a predicted model, not a curated record. Lineage: Eukaryota; Viridiplantae; Streptophyta; Magnoliopsida; Sapindales; Anacardiaceae.